This 77-nucleotide transfer RNA is filed under the name Paramuricea clavata. Its description in RNAcentral is "tRNA-Thr". It matches the Rfam family "tRNA". From Rfam's summary of the family: Transfer RNA (tRNA) molecules are approximately 80 nucleotides in length. The record is from RNAcentral. Lineage: Eukaryota; Metazoa; Cnidaria; Anthozoa; Malacalcyonacea; Plexauridae.
GACCGCGCAGCUCAGUUGGCAGAGCAUGCAUUGGGCUAGUAUUCCAAAGGUCGUAGGUUCGAUUUCCACCGUGGUCA